Molecule: unclassified non-coding RNA, 148 nt
Organism: Callithrix jacchus (white-tufted-ear marmoset)
Lineage: Eukaryota; Metazoa; Chordata; Mammalia; Primates; Cebidae
Rfam family: Metazoan signal recognition particle RNA
About the family: The signal recognition particle (SRP) is a universally conserved ribonucleoprotein. It is involved in the co-translational targeting of proteins to membranes. The eukaryotic SRP consists of a 300-nucleotide 7S RNA and six proteins: SRPs 72, 68, 54, 19, 14, and 9.
Source: Ensembl
GCUGGGCGUGGUGGCGCGUGCCUGUAGUCCCAGCUACUCGGGAGGCUGAGGCAGGAGAAUUGCUUGAACCCGGGAGGUGGAGGUUGCAGUGAGCCAAGGUCGCACCACCGCACUCCAGCCUGGGUGACAGAGUGAGACUCUGUCUCAA